GGGGGUGUUUUUGGGACUCAUAAUCCCUCGGUCGGGGGUUCGAAUCCCUCCGGGCCCA
RNAcentral lists this transfer RNA (58 nucleotides) under Planctomycetota bacterium. Its description in RNAcentral is "tRNA-Ser". The record is from RNAcentral. Lineage: Bacteria; Pseudomonadati; Planctomycetota.